CCACCUCAUCCGCCUCCCCCUUCCCCUUCCCCCUCCUCCUCCUCAGCCACCACAGCAGCGCGACCACCACCAGCACCGCCACGGCCCCAGCCCCCGCCGCCCCCGCCGCCGCGGCGACAGC
Molecule: small RNA, 121 nt
Filed under: Oryza sativa Japonica Group (Japanese rice)
Lineage: Eukaryota; Viridiplantae; Streptophyta; Magnoliopsida; Poales; Poaceae
Description: sRNA Os10g0187410
Source: RNAcentral